CAUCUUCAAGAAAACCACAAUACUUUACAGUAUUACAGGAUUUGAACCAAUCCCUUAAAACAU
This 63-nucleotide transfer RNA is filed under the name Phalanger orientalis (gray cuscus). Its description in RNAcentral is "tRNA-Lys". The record is from RNAcentral. Lineage: Eukaryota; Metazoa; Chordata; Mammalia; Diprotodontia; Phalangeridae.